GGAGGCAGCNNUNGGGAAUAUUGGACAAUNGGCGAAAGCCUGAUCCAGCANUNCCGCGUGUGUGAAGAAGGCCUUCGGGUUGUAAAGCACUUUUGUCCGGAAAGAAAUCNUUGGCNNUNAUACAGUCGGGGGAUGACGGUACCGGAAGAAUAAGCACCGGCUAACUACGUGCCAGCAGGCGCGGUAAUACGUAGGGUGCNAGCGUUAAUNGGAAUUACUGGGCGUAAAGCGUGCGCNGGCGGUUUGNUAAGACCGAUGUGAAAUCCCCGGGCUCCACCUGGGAACUGCAUUGGUGACUGGCAGACUAGAGUAUGGCAGAGGGGGGUAGAAUUCCACGUGUAGCAGUGAAAUGCGUAGAGAUGUGGAGGAAUACCGAUGGCGAAGGCAGCCCCCUGGGCCAAUACUGACGNUCAUGCACGAAAGCGUGGGGAGCAAACAGGAUUAGAUACCCUGGUAGUNCACGCCCUAAACGAUGUCAANUAGUUGUUGGGGAUUCAUUUCNUUAGUAAUGUAGNUAACGCGUGAAGUUGACCGCNUGGGGAGUACGGUCGCAAGAUUAAAACUCAAAGGAAUUGACGGGGACCCGCACAANCGGUGGAUGAUGUGGAUUANUUCGAUGCAACGCGAAAAACNUUACCUACCCUUGACAUGGUGGAAUCCUGCUGAGAGGCGGGAGUGCUCNAAAGAGAA
RNAcentral lists this ribosomal RNA (690 nucleotides) under Burkholderia cepacia. RNAcentral's name for it is "partial 16S ribosomal RNA". It matches the Rfam family "Bacterial small subunit ribosomal RNA", at positions 344 to 1028 of the family's 1533-position model. Lineage: Bacteria; Pseudomonadati; Pseudomonadota; Betaproteobacteria; Burkholderiales; Burkholderiaceae. The record is from RNAcentral.